This 246-nucleotide long non-coding RNA is filed under the name Lathyrus oleraceus (garden pea). Its description in RNAcentral is "Pisum sativum (pea) long non-coding RNA (PSAT_LNC003020)". Lineage: Eukaryota; Viridiplantae; Streptophyta; Magnoliopsida; Fabales; Fabaceae. The record is from RNAcentral.
GGCGAUCCAAAAAGUAGCGGAAUUUAAAAUUUCUCCUUUAUGAUCCUUACGAAUGGGCAUGAUCAGUGAUAGAAUCGUUACCUCUUAUGGCAAUUAUAACCUUUGAUGCAGAUCUACGGAGCGAUCACAAGUGUUGAACAAUGACAACGCCUCUAACUCAGUCCACAUGAACAGAUUCCUUCAAUCUCAGUGCUAGCUGCUACGAAUGAAGGCUUUGAGUGAGAGAGAGAGAGAGAGAGAGAGAGA